This 467-nucleotide ribosomal RNA is filed under the name uncultured bacterium. RNAcentral's name for it is "partial 16S ribosomal RNA". It matches the Rfam family "Bacterial small subunit ribosomal RNA", at positions 28 to 507 of the family's 1533-position model. The record is from RNAcentral.
GACGAACGCUGGCGGCGCGCCUAACACAUGCAAGUCGAACGGAGUCAAGAGGAGCUUGCUUUUCUUGACUUAGUGGCGAACGGGUGAGUAACGCGUGAGUAACCUGCCCUGGAGUGGGGGACAACAGUUGGAAACGACUGCUAAUACCGCAUAAGCCCACGGAUCUGCAUGGAUCUGCGGGAAAAGGAUUUAUUCGCUCUAGGAUGGACUCGCGUCCAAUUAGCUAGUUGGUGAGGUAACGGCCCACCAAGGCGACGAUUGGUAGCCGGACUGAGAGGUUGAACGGCCACAUUGGGACUGAGACACGGCCCAGACUCCUACGGGAGGCAGCAGUGGGGGAUAUUGCACAAUGGGGGAAACCCUGAUGCAGCGACGCCGCGUGGAGGAGAAGGUUUUCGGAUUGUAAACUCCUGUCGUUAGGGACGAUAAUGACGGUACCUAACAAGAAAGCACCAGCUAACUACGUG